GUGGGGAAUAUUGGACAAUGGGCGGAAGCCUGAUCCAGCCAUGCCGCGUGUGUGAAGAAGGCCUUUUGGUUGUAAAGCACUUUAAGCGAGGAGGAGGCUACUCUAGUUAAUACCUAGAGAUAGUGGACGUUACUCGCAGAAUAAGCACCGGCUAACUCUGUGCCAGCAGCCGCGGUAAUACAGAGGGUGCGAGCGUUAAUCGGAUUUACUGGGCGUAAAGCGUGCGUAGGCGGCUGAUUAAGUCGGAUGUGAAAUCCCUGAGCUUAACUUAGGAAUUGCAUUCGAUACUGGUCAGCUAGAGUAUGGGAGAGGAUGGUAGAAUUCCAGGUGUAGCGGUGAAAUGCGUAGAGAUCUGGAGGAAUACCGAUGGCGAAGGCAGCCAUCUGGCCUAAUACUGACGCUGAGGUACGAAAGCAUGGGGAGCAAACAGGA
RNAcentral lists this ribosomal RNA (432 nucleotides) under uncultured bacterium. RNAcentral's name for it is "bacterial SSU rRNA". It matches the Rfam family "Bacterial small subunit ribosomal RNA", at positions 354 to 777 of the family's 1533-position model. The record is from RNAcentral.